This is a long non-coding RNA of Alosa sapidissima (American shad), 429 nucleotides long. RefSeq lists it as uncharacterized. The transcript has 3 exons. NCBI's taxonomy places the organism in Eukaryota, Metazoa, Chordata, Actinopteri, Clupeiformes, Clupeidae. The record is from RefSeq and is a predicted model, not a curated record.
CCCUUGACGUCUCAGCCAUGAUUCUACACAAAGUUACCACAUCCUUUCUGAACAUCUUUAUUCAAAAAGCUGACACACAAUUGUUUGCUAAGCUAUUAAUUGAAGCCUACUAACCGACACUUUCAGAAGACUUCGUUCCAGUUUUUUCAGUUUCCCUGUAGGUAAUCCAGACAGGCUGGGUGCUGGAGAGGGCUCUGGACUCCUAACAUCAAUUCUCGUCUGUGCAGUCGACACUCAGAAGCAUCACUUCAGCACUGAUUCCAUGAUCUGGAACAUUUUGAAAUCCUACCAGAUGGGGCACAAGUCAUUGAGCAGUGGCAGUUUCUGACUUCAAGGACUUUGUUCACCAGCAGACUCCUUGAUGAUUACCUGUAUUUACAGCAUUUGCAUCUGUCUGUCUUUAAAGUGAUCUAAUAUGUAUUGACUAUG